CAAUAGCGUAUAUUAAAGUUGUUGCAGUUAAAAAGCUCGUAGUUGGAUCUUAGGAUCGGGCUGGCGGUCCACCGCAAGGUGUGCUACUGCUAGUCUCGACCUGCUAGUCGGUUUGCCCUGGGUGCUCUUGACUGAGUGCACUGGGUGGCCGGCACGUUUACUUUGAAAAAAUUGGAGUGUUUAAAGCAGGCUUUCGCCUGAACAACUUUGCAUGGAAUAAUGGAAGAGGACCUCGGUUCUAUUUUGUUGGUUUUCGGAGCACGAGGUAAUGAUUAAGAGGGACAGACGGGGGCAUUCGUAUUGCUGCGUUAGAGGUGAAAUUCUUGGAUCGCAGCAAGACGCACUACUGCGAAAGCAUUUGCCAAGAAUGUUUUCAUUAA
Molecule: ribosomal RNA, 380 nt
Filed under: uncultured eukaryote
Lineage: Eukaryota
Description: partial 18S ribosomal RNA
Rfam family: Eukaryotic small subunit ribosomal RNA
Source: RNAcentral